Molecule: ribosomal RNA, 253 nt
Filed under: uncultured bacterium
Lineage: Bacteria
Description: partial 16S ribosomal RNA
Rfam family: Bacterial small subunit ribosomal RNA
Source: RNAcentral
UACGGGGGGGGCAAGCGUUGUUCGGAAUUACUGGGCGUAAAGGGUUUGUAGGCGGCCCGCUAAGUCAUACGUGAAAUCCCUCAGCUUAACUGGGGAACUGCGUGUGAGACUGGCAAGCUCGAGUGCAGGAGAGGAAUGCGGAAUUCCAGGUGUAGCGGUGAAAUGCGUAGAUAUCUGGAGGAACACCGGUGGCGAAGGCGGCAUUCUGGACUGCAACUGACACUGAAAGACGAAAGCCAGGGGAGCAAACGGG